This 480-nucleotide long non-coding RNA is filed under the name Prunus dulcis (almond). RNAcentral's name for it is "sRNA ncRNA". Lineage: Eukaryota; Viridiplantae; Streptophyta; Magnoliopsida; Rosales; Rosaceae. The record is from RNAcentral.
AAAAGAAUCAAACAUCACCAUUGUUCAUUGUUAAGCACUCCUAGUCCUAGGUAAGCGACACAAACAUCACAUACACUAAACCAAUUAAUAACAUAAUAUACAUUAAUUAAACUUAACAAAGACAAGGAGAACAUAUUAAUCAAGCAUAGACAGUGGAGGUUUUGGAAGGGGAUUGCCAUCAAAACCAGUUUCUUGAAACUUGCAGAUAAACAAGUGGAUGUCGUUCAAAUACCCAAGGAGUAUCAUUUUUUUCAGCCCUCAAAAAACUGUUCGCUAACUCCAUGGUACGACGACGUUUGUUCAUAGCCCUCAGUGAUCUUUCUCACUAGACGUUCACUUUCCUCAUCCAGACGUUUCUGCUGACCAGCCUUGGCCUUGCUAUCUCUCUUUCUCUUCUUCAAGCUGGCAGAGGAAGGAGAAUAAGCUGAAGAAAACAUUGUCUCUAAAGAACACAAGGCCUAGAGAUAGAGGAUAUUAAAU